AACAAACGCUGGCGGCGUGCCUAAUACAUGCAAGUCGAACGAAGAACGCCCUUCGGGGUUAUUAAGAGUGGCGCACGGGUGAGUAACGCGUGGAUAAUCUGCCUUUUAGUGGGGAACAACUAAGCGAAAGUUUAGCUAAUACCGCAUAAGACCACAGUAUCUGCGGAUACAGGGGUUAAAGAUUUAUCGCUAAAAGAUGAGUCCGCGUCCAAUUAGCUUGUUGGUGAGGUAAAGGCUCACCAAGGCUCUGAUUGGUAGCUGGUCUGAGAGGAUGAUCAGUCACACUGGAACUGAGACACGGUCCAGACUCCUACGGGAGGCAGCAGUAGGGAAUAUUGCGCAAUGGGGGAAACCCUGACGCAGCGACGCCGCGUGAGUGAUGAAGGCCUUCGGGUUGUAAAGCUCUGUUCUUAGGGAAUAAAAAAAUGAAGGUACCUAAGAAGAAAGGACCGGCUAACUUCG
RNAcentral lists this ribosomal RNA (462 nucleotides) under uncultured Bdellovibrio sp. RNAcentral's name for it is "bacterial SSU rRNA". It matches the Rfam family "Bacterial small subunit ribosomal RNA", at positions 29 to 505 of the family's 1533-position model. The record is from RNAcentral. Lineage: Bacteria; Pseudomonadati; Bdellovibrionota; Bdellovibrionia; Bdellovibrionales; Pseudobdellovibrionaceae.